Molecule: ribosomal RNA, 253 nt
Filed under: uncultured bacterium
Lineage: Bacteria
Description: partial 16S ribosomal RNA
Rfam family: Bacterial small subunit ribosomal RNA
Source: RNAcentral
UACAGAGGUCUCGAGCGUUGUCCGGAAUCAUUGGGCGUAAAGAGCGUGUAGGUGGCCCGGUAAGUCCGCCGUGAAAGUCCAGGGCUCAACCCUGGAAAGCCGGUGGAUACUGUCGGGCUGGAGUCCGGAAGAGGCGAGUGGAAUUCAUGGUGUAGCGGUGAAAUGCGCAGAUAUCAGGAGGAACACCAAUGGCGAAGGCAGCUCGCUGGGACGGUACUGACACUGAGACGCGAAAGCGUGGGGAGCAAACAGG